RNAcentral lists this ribosomal RNA (439 nucleotides) under uncultured bacterium. RNAcentral describes it as "bacterial SSU rRNA". It matches the Rfam family "Bacterial small subunit ribosomal RNA", at positions 351 to 782 of the family's 1533-position model. The record is from RNAcentral.
GCAGUGGGGAAUUUUGGACAAUGGGGGAAACCCUGAUCCAGCAAUGCCGCGUGUGCGAAGAAGGCCUUCGGGUUGUAAAGCACUUUUGGCAGGAACGAAACGGCGCCGGAUAAUACCUGGUGUCACUGACGGUACCUGCAGAAUAAGCACCGGCUAACUACGUGCCAGCAGCCGCGGUAAUACGUAGGGUGCAAGCGUUAAUCGGAAUUACUGGGCGUAAAGCGUGCGCAGGCGGUUCGGAAAGAAAGAUGUGAAAUCCCAGGGCUCAACCUUGGAACUGCAUUUUUAACUACCGGACUAGAGUAUGUCAGAGGGGGGUGGAAUUCCACGUGUAGCAGUGAAAUGCGUAGAUAUGUGGAGGAACACCGAUGGCGAAGGCAGCCCCCUGGGAUAAUACUGACGCUCAUGCACGAAAGCGUGGGGAGCAAACAGGAUUAGA